UUAGAUACCCUAUUAUUCUAGAAUAUCCUUUCUAAGGUAGUAGUUGUUAUAAGCUUGAAACCUAAAGAAUUUGGCGGUGUCAAGUUAAAUCAGAGGAACCUGUUAGGUAAUAGAUAAUCCACUUUAUUUCUUUCUUUAAACCAGCUUGUAUACCGUCAUCUAAAAUAAUUUUUUAAAAAAUUAUUUAUUUGAUUCUCAUUCCUGCACACAUAAGUUAGAUCAAGGUGCAGCUUUUUAAAGAUCUAAAUGGGUUACAAUUCAAAUCAGAUUUGAAUUUAUUUUUUUAAAACAAACAAAAGUGGAUUUGAAAGUAAUUUUAGUUUAACAAGCUAUUAUGAGUCUCCCCUAAGACAUGCACACAUCGCCG
Molecule: ribosomal RNA, 367 nt
Filed under: unidentified
Description: Burmoniscus sp. partial 12S ribosomal RNA
Source: RNAcentral